This 434-nucleotide ribosomal RNA is filed under the name uncultured Ruminococcus sp. RNAcentral's name for it is "partial 16S ribosomal RNA". It matches the Rfam family "Bacterial small subunit ribosomal RNA", at positions 341 to 792 of the family's 1533-position model. Lineage: Bacteria; Bacillati; Bacillota; Clostridia; Eubacteriales; Oscillospiraceae. The record is from RNAcentral.
ACGGAAGGCAACAGUGGGGAAUAUUGCACAAUGGGCGCAAGCCUGAUGCAGCGAUGCCGCGUGAGGGAAGAAGGUUUUCGGAUUGUAAACCUCUGUCAACAGGGACGAAAAUGACGGUACCUGUGAAGGAAGCUCCGGCUAACUACGUGCCAGCAGCCGCGGUAAUACGUAGGGAGCAAGCGUUAUCCGGAAUUACUGGGUGUAAAGGGAGUGUAGGCGGGACUGUAAGUCAGAUGUGAAAUAUGCCGGCUCAACUGGCAGACUGCAUUUGAAACUGCGGUUCUUGAGUGAAGUAGAGGCAAGCGGAAUUCCUGGUGUAGCGGUGAAAUGCGUAGAUAUCAGGAGGAACACCGGUGGCGAAGGCGGCUUGCUGGGCUUUUACUGACGCUGAGGCUCGAAAGCGUGGGUAGCAAACAGGAUUAGAUACCCUGGUA